Non-coding RNA from Microcebus murinus (gray mouse lemur), 4601 nucleotides. The record is from RefSeq and is a predicted model, not a curated record. NCBI's taxonomy places the organism in Eukaryota, Metazoa, Chordata, Mammalia, Primates, Cheirogaleidae.
ACCGUGCUUGAGGUCCUGUGAUGAUCUGCAGGGAAGGGAGUGCAGCAGCUUGGAGUGGGGACAGGGACGGCCUGAAGGAGGAAGUCACGGAGGAGAUAUGUGAGCCAGGUAUUAUGGAAGAAGCAGGGGUACUGGGCUGAGGAUGUCCCAGACACAGAAACACCAUGUGCAAAGGCACCGAGGCAUAAAAGUAUACAGAAUAUUUAGGGGGGAUAUUCAGCAGCCCAUGCACUUGGGGUGCAUGUCUGAGCACCAAUAGGUACAGGGAGUUUAGAGCAGCAGGUAGGAGGAAGACGAAGGUAGAAAAGUAGACCAGGGUUGAACUGUGAAGCCCCCCGUCAGCCAAGCCAAGGAAGCUGACCUUCAACCUGGCCACAGUAAGGAACCACUGGGGUUGGUGCAGCAUGGGAGAGACAUGGUCACAUACUCGCAACUAACAGCGUUACUUAGGCUCCAGCUGUCGCAGGCACAGCACUAGGCUCCUCCGUGUAUUAAUAUAUUAAUGGGAGGCUCUUCUCAGCUGGCUCUGAUGAUAAAUGAAUCUAAGGAGGUUUUCUCCUCUUUGAUUCAUGCAAUUAUUCCUGGAGAAAUGGCCAAUAUUGGAGCAAUUUUUCCUCUCUGAAGAGCCAGACUGGCUGGCUAACAGUGAAGGCAAGGGGAAGGGAUCCCGCACCAGCACCGACCCCCACAGCCAGGCUGCUGGGAGCAGCGCUUGGAAAUCUUCGGAAGCUCCUCACACGCCUCAUGGUUCUCGCUCUGAAGGCUUGGGAAGAGCCUGAAAGUGGGGAAUGGUGGAGGUGACGGGAGCCAUAGAGGAAGAAAACAGAGGGAAAUCCCUUUAGCUGGACAAGGAUUUAUGACUGUCUGCAUUUCUAUGAACAAGAGACGGGCAAGGUGGGUGGGUGGCAGCCACCUUGCAGCUUCCAAACCCCACUCACAGCAGGAAAGGGUCUCUCCCUCCCCUUCUGUCUCUUCUCUCUCCCCCCCACCAUCCUCCCUAGCUCCUCUCCAGAAAGGUUUAUGGAGAAGGCUCCAAAUAGCCCCCUCUCCUGCAGGCACAGUCACACCAACUGAAAGGAGAUUUAAUUAGCAAAAUCUCGUUAGGCAAACGAAAUUAUCCGUAAGACAAUACUCUUCUGGACAGGGGGUAUGAUUAAACAAAGCCAUUAAUUGAGAGAGUCGCGUUGGCAGCUCCCCGAUGCGAUGCACUCAUCUCUGGGCAGGCUCCACUCUGCCUCCUUGGACCAGGGGCACAGACUCUUUGCCUCCUCCCCCGUCCAGCCCACCCUCUCCCCACUUCAUCUUGCUCUUGGGGGGAGGGGGCCCUCCAGUUGGGGCUGCAGACCUCGGUUUCUCAUCAGCGGCCUCUUCGCCACCAGAUUCCUGCUAAAGUGCCUUGAUUGCAUAAUGCCUAUUUGCAUAAUGUAAAUUGCAAUCUCCUAGCUCAGGAGGCAGGAAUCACAGAACAGCCAUUAUUUUUUACCACUCCACAAAAAUUCUACAUUUAGAAAGCAGAUUUGCAGCUCAGAAAGCUGUAUAAAUCUGAAUCCGCCAGAAACGCCAUUAAAUCACACCAAUUAAGCCGGACCAACGAAGAGCCCCUGUCACUGCUCUCUUGUACACUCAAGGACUCCCAGUGCAGACGGAGGCCACGAGAAACUGGAGGCUGUGGCAGCCAGGCUGGGAGCAGAAGCUGGAAGAGGCAGGAAAUUCUGUCUUGUAAACCUUAGCACACACCCCAAGCAGAGGCUCCCAUCAAGACCUGGUCCAGCACUGAGAGAGGCAGCUCCACUGCUGAAUGAAUGGCUGAACCAUGGCUGAGUGCCUAUGCUGUGCCAGGAAUGGCUCUGGGUGCCCGCACAUGCUGGAUUUCACUGACUCUCACGGCAUCCUGGAUAAAACAAUUUUUUAAAAACCAAGCACAAAUUUAUCAGGUGUCUGCUCCGUGUUCUACGCACACUGAAGCAGCAGGAAUCAAAUCCGUGGGUCCUGUUACAAAAGCAUCACCUCCACGUCCCUGAGGAAGUGAGAUCACUCAUAUGAAAUAACGUCCAAGAAGACAAGACUAUCAGAGACGCUCAUUCUCUCUCCACAGAGACAUGAAGUCUGCAAGCACUCAAGGGAGUUUUCCAGAAGAGGGAGAACUUCGCUGGUAGAAGGAAGAGAGGGGGCAUUCCAAAGAAGGGGGGAUAUCUGAGCAAGGGCCAGGAGUGGGAGAUCACAGAGGGUCCUGGGACAAUGCAGAGGUUGGUGUGCCUCAAAGAGACCAGAGCAGGGAAUAAUGCCAGGGGUGGGGCUGGAGCAUCCAGGGGGGCUGCCAGUGUCCGGCAAGGGCAGUCAGGCUGACCUAUGAGCCUUAGAGCCUUUGAAGGUUUUUGAACAAGGAAAUGACAUGAUGUAGAGCCCCACAAUCCCCACCCCAUUGAGUAUUUUCCCUUUAACUAAGAUAAGAAAGGCUUCUUGGAAGAAGGUGGAAUUGCAGUUAGAAGAUUCAGGCUUGGGCAUGGUGAGAUGUGCUCAUGGAAAUAAAUCGUCCCUCUUGUUCGUAACAGUGUCCUCCAGGCAAAGGCACCUCCUCUGGGGCUGUGUACUAGCAGCAGCAAGAUCAAGAUUCACAGCUCAUGGAGCUACCUCAGAGACAGGACCAGACUACUGGACGACAAGCCACUGAGGACAAGGACCAUGUCUCCUGCAUGUUUACAUUCCCAGAACCUAGCAGAGGGCACAGCAUGUGUUGGGUUCUCAGUAAAUAUCUGCUGAAACAUUGAAUGGUGGAACCCUGUUCAUUCCAACCAGAAUCUACAACCAGCACCUAAAAACCAGGCCCUGGCUAGGAAUGGGUUCCAAUUCGUGUUAUUCUAGACUACUUAUGCUACUACUGAGCACUGCAUGAACUCAGUACACAAAGCCUUUAGAUUAAAUUACAGAGCUGUAUGCUCUAUCCCUGCCCUCUGGGACUGUCCGUCUGAGACUCCAGUGACUUGGAAGAAGAUAUGGCAGACCUUCCAUGUGCACAUGAUGUAAAAAGUGGGUACUGUGCUGGAGAGACAGAGUCAAGAUUGUUAUGAAGCUUUUAACAAGCUGAAAGGAUGGGCCAAAACUAAAAAGUCCAUUUUUUCCUCUAACAGUUUUUAUUUCUUGCACAAUAACAUCAUGAUGACCACAGAGGAAAUAAUUUUGAAAAUACAGAAAAAUUGCCCACAAUCUCAUUACUCUACACCAUCAAAUUAUAUGCUAUGUCCACAUGCAUACCUACUUUUUUCCCUUUUAACAGAAUCUUUUGCAGAAAAAGAUUUGACAAGAAUAUAAACACCAAAUCCUGCUCUUAAACUCAAAAAUCUAUUGCGAAAACCAGAGUGGGCUGACCUGAUUUGAAAAAAAGGACAUGGAUUAUAUGAGUUAAAUACAAACUCAAGAUGAGCCCAGGGUGUUGCUGCCACAGUGUUGCUGCCAGAUUUACUCAAUGUGACGUCUGGUUGCAUUAAUAGCCAUCCUAUGCCCAGCGGAGGGGCGAAUGAUCUCCACUCUGGACUUAUCAGUCCAUAUUAGUUCUAUAUGCAUUUCUGGCAUAAUGUAUUAAGUACUUUGACAGCAAUGAGUAGAAAAGAGAGGUAAGAGAAGAUGUCCAGUGGUUAGACAGUGGGUUAAAAGUCUAGUUGUUCCAGGCUCUGGAAUGACACUGUAUAGGUUUUGAUCCUGGCUUGACCAUGGUCCUCCAUGCUUCAGUUUUUCAUCUGUAAAAUAGGGCUAUUAUAAGUUCUACCUCUGAGGGUGGUGGUGAGGACUGAAUGACUUCAUAUACCAUAAGGUGCUUAGAACAGUACCUCACACAAAAUCAGCACCCACGGAAUGUUAGCUAUCACUGCUGCUCUUGCUGUUUUCAGUCUUGUUAGGAAGCUGUGAGGUACAUUUGUCCCUCUCUAAAAUUAUCCGUUGGUCCUGGUUCUAGUGAUUAAAGCAAUAUGAUCCCUCUCUUACAUGACAGCCCUCCAAAUAUUUGAAGAAACUAUGUGAAAGAAGGACUUUUUUGCUCUAGAGAGUGGGAGUGGGAUUAGGACUAACUGUAGACACUAGAGGAAGCCAAUCUGCAGUGCAAUAUAAGAAAGAAUUCUCUGGCAAUGACAACCAUCCAAAAUGAGUUAGGCUUCCUUGGAAGGGAGUGCACUUCCAACACUGAAAGGAGAAUUCUGCACUGGGUGAGAAGCUUCUCUGAAGCAUGGUUUCCCAGAUUUGGGUUUCAGCCAUCAGUAAAAUAUUGAAAAACAUUAGAAGAUGGAUAGCAUUGAAAAACUUAUAUUUUGAUAAAACAUUAAUGGUGUCUUCUCUUAGCAUCAUUUCGUGAAACAAUUCCAUCCUCCAAAGCAAGAAGGGUAAAAAUAUCUUACAAUAAAGAGCCAUACGAAUUGAUAAAUAGAGCCAGCCUCAUGAAAAGCAUUCUCUCUCUCUCUCUCUCUCUCUCUCUCUCUGUCACACACACGCACACGCGCGCGCGUGGACACACACACACACACACACACACACACACACCUGUGUGCAUAUGCAACCUCUCCACAUUCUCCUUUUCUCCUUAUUUUUCACUCAUCACCAUGCCCCAGUGGCAC